This 239-nucleotide ribosomal RNA is filed under the name uncultured Geothermobacter sp. RNAcentral's name for it is "partial 16S ribosomal RNA". It matches the Rfam family "Bacterial small subunit ribosomal RNA", at positions 1146 to 1382 of the family's 1533-position model. The record is from RNAcentral. Lineage: Bacteria; Pseudomonadati; Thermodesulfobacteriota; Desulfuromonadia; Desulfuromonadales; Geothermobacteraceae.
AGACUGCCGGUGGUUAAACCGGAGGAAGGUGGGGAUGACGUCAAGUCCUCAUGGCCCUUAUAUCCAGGGCUACACACGUGCUACAAUGGCCGGUACAAAGGGUCGCAAUACCGCAAGGUGGAGCUAAUCCCAAAAAAGCCGGUCUCAGUUCGGAUUGGAGUCUGCAACUCGACUCCAUGAAGUCGGAAUCGCUAGUAAUCGCGUAUCAGCAUGACGCGGUGAAUACGUUCCCGGGCCUU